Molecule: ribosomal RNA, 489 nt
Filed under: uncultured bacterium
Lineage: Bacteria
Description: partial 16S ribosomal RNA
Rfam family: Bacterial small subunit ribosomal RNA
Source: RNAcentral
GGGGGGGGGGGGGGGGGGGGGGGGGGGGGGGGGGGGGGGGGGGGGGGGGGGGGUGGGAGUACAGUUGCUGGCGGACGGCAAGCGGGUGCGGAACACGGACGCAACUUACACCGAACUGGGGGAUAGCCCGGGGACCCCCGGAUUAAUACCCCGUACGAUAAUGGAGUGGCGUCGCUUUAUGAUGAAAGCUCCGGCGUUUGGGGAUGGGCAUGCGGCUGAUUAGGUAGUUGUUUGAGUUAACGGGUCACCAAGCCUCCGAUCAGUAACUGGUGUGAUAGCACGACCAGUCACACGGGCACUGAGACACGCGCCAGACUCCUACGGGAGGCAGCAGUAAGGAAUAUUGGGCAAUGGAGGCAACUCUGCCCCAGCCAUGCCGCGUGGAGGAUGAAGGCCCUCUGGGUUGUAAACUUCUUUUAUAGGGGACGAAACCUGUGUAUUCUUACGCAGUUGACGGUACCCUAGGAAUAAGCACCGGCUAACUCCGUG